This is a long non-coding RNA of Gopherus evgoodei (Goodes thornscrub tortoise), 241 nucleotides long. RefSeq lists it as uncharacterized. The transcript is spliced from 3 exons. Lineage: Eukaryota; Metazoa; Chordata; Testudines; Testudinidae. The record is from RefSeq and is a predicted model, not a curated record.
GACAGGGCAGCACUGUGAUGGAGUUUCUGUAGCGUGGUGGUUCCACAUUUGCCUAAUCUGCAAAGGGCCUCAGCCCGAAAACCAGGCAGAAACGUAGUGGCUUCCUUUUCCCAGCUCCCCUUGCUGUCCAGCAAGGUGCUCCUCCUUCAGCCACUGGCCUGUCCCUUGCAUAACCCCAACCCCCGCAUGAUAGAGGGUGGUGACACCAGUGGACAAAAUACCUUGGCCAGGGCUGGAACCA